This 174-nucleotide ribosomal RNA is filed under the name uncultured bacterium. RNAcentral describes it as "partial 16S ribosomal RNA". It matches the Rfam family "Bacterial small subunit ribosomal RNA", at positions 338 to 524 of the family's 1533-position model. The record is from RNAcentral.
CCUACGGGAGGCAGCAGUGGGGAAUAUUGCACAAUGGGCGGAAGCCUGAUGCAGCAACGCCGCGUGAGGGAUGACGGCCUUCGGGUUGUAAACCUCUUUUAGCAGGGAAGAAGCGUAAGUGACGGUACCUGCAGAAAAAGCCCCGGCUAACUUCGUGCCAGCAGCCGCGGUAAU